RNAcentral lists this transfer RNA (72 nucleotides) under Camelus bactrianus (Bactrian camel). It matches the Rfam family "tRNA". From Rfam's summary of the family: Transfer RNA (tRNA) molecules are approximately 80 nucleotides in length. The record is from Rfam by way of RNAcentral. Lineage: Eukaryota; Metazoa; Chordata; Mammalia; Artiodactyla; Camelidae. RNAcentral also lists the same sequence under 2 other names.
GGAGAUACAGCUCAAGUGGUAGAGCAAGUGCUUAGCAUGCAUGAGGUCCUGGGUCAAUCCCCAGUAUCUCCU